UACGGAGGGGGCGAGCGUUAUUCGGAAUCACUGGGCGUAAAGGGCGCGUAGGCGGCUUUAUAAGUCGGGGGUGAAAGCCUGUGGCUCAACCACAGAAUUGCCUUCGAUACUGUAGAGCUUGAGACCGGAAGAGGUAAGUGGAACUGCGAGUGUAGAGGUGAAAUUCGUAGAUAUUCGCAAGAACACCAGUGGCGAAGGCGGCUUACUGGUCCGGUUCUGACGCUGAGGCGCGAAAGCGUGGGGAGCAAACAGG
This 253-nucleotide ribosomal RNA is filed under the name uncultured bacterium. Its description in RNAcentral is "partial 16S ribosomal RNA". It matches the Rfam family "Bacterial small subunit ribosomal RNA", at positions 524 to 776 of the family's 1533-position model. The record is from RNAcentral.